CAGCAUUGUCUAGGCCAGGUCUGCCAUCUCCAUGGCUCUCCCUGUCUAAUACAAUGCAAAAUUUCAACCUCCGCAAGGCAGACCAGAAGGGAUGGCCCACAACACUGGCCCCCUCCCUUCGAUGGCCGAGAACAAAG
This 137-nucleotide small nucleolar RNA is filed under the name Oncorhynchus tshawytscha (Chinook salmon). Lineage: Eukaryota; Metazoa; Chordata; Actinopteri; Salmoniformes; Salmonidae. The record is from RNAcentral.